This 232-nucleotide ribosomal RNA is filed under the name uncultured bacterium. Its description in RNAcentral is "partial 16S ribosomal RNA". It matches the Rfam family "Bacterial small subunit ribosomal RNA", at positions 118 to 348 of the family's 1533-position model. The record is from RNAcentral.
UGAGGAACAUGACUUUCGGCGGGGGAUAGCCGGCCCAACGGCCGGGUAAUACCGCGUACGACCACAUGGGGACAUCCCUGAGUGGUGAAAGCAGCAAUGCGCCGAUGGAGUGCCUCGCGGCCUAUCAGCUAGUUGGUGAGGUAACGCUCACCAAGGCGACGACGGGUAGCCGGUCUGAGAGGAUGGCCAGCCCACAGUUGGGACUGAGACACGGCCCAGACUCCUAGGGAGG